AAAAGAGAAAGAGAGAGAGAGAGAGAGAGAGGGAGAUGAAAAGGACAGCCAACUGUUCCUGUACUGUAACAUUUAAACCUCAUGUUUUCUACCUUCUCUUCAUCAUUCUCUCUCUCUUUGCUCUUUCUUUCACAUAGUUUU
Non-coding RNA from Xyrichtys novacula (pearly razorfish), 141 nucleotides. The record is from the annotation of a GenBank genome assembly. NCBI's taxonomy places the organism in Eukaryota, Metazoa, Chordata, Actinopteri, Labriformes, Labridae.